This 806-nucleotide ribosomal RNA is filed under the name uncultured euryarchaeote. Its description in RNAcentral is "bacterial SSU rRNA". It matches the Rfam family "Archaeal small subunit ribosomal RNA", at positions 52 to 859 of the family's 1478-position model. The record is from RNAcentral. Lineage: Archaea; Methanobacteriati; Methanobacteriota.
UGCUAGUUGUACGGGCUUAGACUCGUUGCGGAAAGCUCAGUAACACGUGGACAAACUACCCUACGGAGAGCCAUAACCUCGGGAAACUGAGGCUAAUAGUUCAUAGGGGAGUCGCGCUGGAAGUGCCGACUCUCCCAAACGCUCCGGCGCCGUAGGAUGUGUCUGCGGCCGAUUAGGUAGACGGUGGGGUAACGGCCCACCGUGCCGAUAAUCGGUACGGGUUGUGAGAGCAAGAGCCCGGAGACGGAAUCUGAGACAAGAUUCCGGGCCCUACGGGGCGCAGCAGGCGCGAAACCUUUACACUGUACGCAAGUGCGAUAAGGGGACCCCAAGUGCGAGGGCAUAUAGUCCUCGCUUUUCCCGACUGUAAGGCGGUCGGGGAAUAAGAGCUGGGCAAGACCGGUGCCAGCCGCCGCGGUAAUACCGGCAGCUCAAGUGAUGACCGAUAUUAUUGGGCCUAAAGCGUCCGUAGCCGGCCACGAAGGUCUAUCGGGAAAUCCGCCAGCUUAACUGGCGGGCGUCCGGUAGAAACCACGUGGCUUGGGACCGGAAGGCUCGAGGGGUACGUCCGGGGUAGGAGUGAAAUCCUGUAAUCCUGGACGGACCACCGAUGGCGAAAGCACCUCGAGAAGACGGAUCCGACGGUGAGGGACGAAAGCUAGGGUCUCGAACCGGAUUAGAUACCCGGGUAGUCCUAGCUGUAAACGAUGCUCGCUAGGUGUGGCACAGGCUACGAGCCUGUGCUGUGCCGUAGGGAAGCCGAGAAGCGAGCCGCCUGGGAAGUACGUCCGCAAGGAUGAACUUAA